Molecule: long non-coding RNA, 1379 nt
Filed under: Vulpes vulpes (red fox)
Lineage: Eukaryota; Metazoa; Chordata; Mammalia; Carnivora; Canidae
Description: lncRNA (ENSVVUG00000016698.1)
Source: RNAcentral
GAAAUUGAUCUGUCCCUGAUUUUAGGACAAGUUCAUGAGGCAGGACAUUCUUGGGUAAAAUAGCCUAGAAACCUUGAAAACCAAAUCCUCAUGUAAACAAUUACACCGCACCAAUGGACUAUGCUAGCGGAAAGAGGGCAUCCCCGCGGAGACAGGUCAGUCCAGGAAGGCUUCCCGAAGGAGGGGGUUCUCAGCUUGUCUCAAAGAGAUUCACGUGGGAGCAAAGGAUUGCUGGGCCAAGGACACCCAGAGAGAAAAAAGGGAUUAUGGAAAAUCCAGCAAGUUGUAACCAGCCAAUCUCACACUAAUGAUGUGAUCAAGAGAUGGACCUGUCUCCUGGCGAGGGGCCAUCGGCACUUGUCAACGCCCUCCGGUGUCCACGGGCAAGAGACAAAUCAGAAAUCACAGCCAUCCUGCUCCCGUCCCCAGAGGCGACCGCUGAAGAGGAGGGAGCCGUUUCUCGGGCGGCCUUCAUAUACAGCAUCGAUGCCAAAUAAUCACGUAAAUAAAUACAUGAGUACGAUAAGGACAGGAAGACAAAGGGAAGGGAGGAGAAGAAAAGAAAAAGCCAGGAACGGCUCCACCAGGAUAGGGACCUGCCUGCUUCCUUCCCCGCUAAGGCUUCCGCGUCGAGAUCAGCACCUGGCCCCGGUUCAGGACGGACAGACCUGCGAGCGCCAACACAGCCCGUCCCCACUCCUGUGGCGACAUAGGCCACACGGCUCUGCGGCUCACUUUUCUUGCUCCCUCAGCUGGGAGACCGUGUUUUCUCCACUCACACAGAGCUGCCUCGUUCCGGUGCUGCAGAGUCGGCCACGUGGCCGCAGCCGGGGACAUCUGGCCCAAUCCCGCAGGUGGAGACACGAUGGAACUGGUCUUUCCUCAGAGGCUGCGGGCAGUGGCUGCGGGAAUAUUAUUGCACAAACCGUGAAGGGGAAUGAAGGAUAUUUUCAGUUCGGAGCUCAGAUUCCCGGAUCACAGGUCCUCCCUUCCCGUUCUGCCUGCCAGGGUGGAGCUGGGUGGAUUAGUCUGGACAUUUCAGGCCACUGGCCACUGCUCUGGAGCAGGUCCUAGAGAGCCUUCUGUCUCUGUGCCUAGCGUGGACCCUUCACUUGCCGGAGCACAGAGUGGCCCAGGGUCUGGGGACUGACCCCAGAGUGGCCAGCGAGGCAGGCUCGUCACUCUGAGGCUCAAAGCAUAGGACACCAUCUGUGCCUGCUCGUGGGUAAGAGUUCAAGCCUCUGCACCAGCGUUACUGUGCGCCCUGCAGACAAUCUAACUCCGUGGGGAAAUGGAGGCUCAGAUGCUUUCCCAGGGAAGACGCUAGCUUGAUUCCAGAGGACGCAGGCUGGUGGCAGUGAAGCCAAGCCCAGGGAAAG